GACGAACGCUGGCGGCGUGCCUAAUACAUGCAAGUAGAACGCUGAAGAGAGGAGCUUGCUCUUCUUGGAUGAGUUGCGAACGGGUGAGUAACGCGUAGGUAACCUGCCUUGUAGCGGGGGAUAACUAUUGGAAACGAUAGCUAAUACCGCAUAACAAUAGGUGACACAUGUCAUUUAUUUGAAAGGAGCAAUUGCUCCACUACAAGAUGGACCUGCGUUGUAUUAGCUAGUAGGUGAGGUAACGGCUCACCUAGGCGACGAUACAUAGCCGACCUGAGAGGGUGAUCGGCCACACUGGGACUGAGACACGGCCCAGACUCCUACGGGAGGCAGCAGUAGGGAAUCUUCGGCAAUGGGGGCAACCCUGACCGAGCAACGCCGCGUGAGUGAAGAAGGUUUUCGGAUCGUAAAGCUCUGUUGUAAGUCAAGAACGAGUGUGAGAGUGGAAAGUUCACACUGUGACGGUAGCUUACCAGAAAGGGACGGCUAACUACGUG
This 497-nucleotide ribosomal RNA is filed under the name uncultured bacterium. Its description in RNAcentral is "partial 16S ribosomal RNA". It matches the Rfam family "Bacterial small subunit ribosomal RNA", at positions 28 to 507 of the family's 1533-position model. The record is from RNAcentral.